This 442-nucleotide ribosomal RNA is filed under the name uncultured Aminobacterium sp. RNAcentral describes it as "partial 16S ribosomal RNA". Lineage: Bacteria; Thermotogati; Synergistota; Synergistia; Synergistales; Aminobacteriaceae. The record is from RNAcentral.
GACUACUGGGGUAUCUAAUCCCGUUUGCUCCCCUGGCUUUCGCGCCUCAGCGUCAGUUGCUGCCCAGCAAGUCGCCUUCGCCACCGGUGUUCUUCCCAAUAUCUACGCAUUUCACCGCUACACUGGGAAUUCCACUUGCCUCUACAGCACUCCAGUCUGAUAGUUUCAACCGCUGGUAAGGGUUAAGCCCUAACAUUUAACAGCUGACUUAUCAAACAGCCUGCGCGCCCUUUACGCCCAGUAAUUCCGGACAACGCUCGUCCCCUACGUAUUACCGCGGCUGCUGGCACGUAGUUAGCCGGGACUUAUUCGUAUGGUACCGUCACGUCCUUCUUCCCAUACAAAAGAAGUUUACAACCCGAAGGCCGUCUUCCUUCACGCGGCGUCGCUGGGUCAGGGUUUCCCCCAUUGCCCAAUAUUCCCCACUGCAGCCCCCCGUAGG